GAUGAACGCUGGCGGCGUGCCUAAUACAUGCAAGUCGAGCGGACAGAUGAUGAGUUUGCUCCGUUGACGUUAGCGGCGGACGGGUGUGUAACGUGUGGAUCACGUCCUUAUAUUUCUGGGAUCAUUUCGGGAAUCCGGCUCUAAUAGCAGAGAAUAUAUUGAACCGCAGUGUGCAUUGGUAAAUUACGGUUUUUGGGUCUGUACUAGCUGCAUCCGCGCCGCAUUAGCUAGUUGGUAAGGUAACGGCCUACCAAGGCAACGAUGCGUAGCCGAGCUGAGGGAGUGAUAGGCCGCACUGGAACUGAGACACCGACAAGACUCCUACGAGAGGCAGCAGUAGGGAAUCUUACGCAAUGGGCGGAAGCAUGACACAACGAGGCCGCGUGAGUGACGGAGGCCUUCGGAUCGUAAUGCUCUGUUAUUAGGGAAGAACAACUGUCUAAGUAACCAAAGCCGUCUUGACGGUACCUAGUCAAGAAGCACCGGCUAACUACGUG
RNAcentral lists this ribosomal RNA (497 nucleotides) under uncultured bacterium. RNAcentral describes it as "partial 16S ribosomal RNA". It matches the Rfam family "Bacterial small subunit ribosomal RNA", at positions 28 to 507 of the family's 1533-position model. The record is from RNAcentral.